GGUGAAAAGCACCCCGGAAGGGGAGUGAAAUAGAACCUGAAACCGUGUGCUUACAAGUAGUCAGAGCCCGUUAAUGGGUGAUGGCGUGCCUUUUGUAGAAUGAACCGGCGAGUUACGAUUUGAUGCAAGGUUAAGCAGUAAAUGUGGAGCCGUAGCGAAAGCGAGUCUGAAUAGGGCGUUUAGUAUUUGGUCGUAGACCCGAAACCAGGUGAUCUACCCUUGGUCAGGUUGAAGUUCAGGUAACACUGAAUGGAGGACCGAACCGACUUACGUUGAAAAGUGAGCGGAUGAACUGAGGGUAGCGGAGAAAUUCCAAUCGAACCUGGAGAUAGCUGGUUCUCUCCGAAAUAGCUUUAGGGCUAGCCUCAAGUGAUGAUUAUUGGAGGUAGAGCACUGUUUGGACGAGGGGCCCCUCUCGGGUUACCGAAUUCAGACAAACUCCGAAUGCCAAUUAAUUUAACUUGGGAGUCAGAACAUGGGUGAUAAGGUCCGUGUUCGAAAGGGAAACAGCCCAGACCACCAGCUAAGGUCCCAAAAUAUAUGUUAAGUGGAAAAGGAUGUGGCGUUGCCCAGACAACUAGGAUGUUGGCUUAGAAGCAGCCAUCAUUUAAAGAGUGCGUAAUAGCUCACUAGUCGAGUGACACUGCGCCGAAAAUGUAC
RNAcentral lists this ribosomal RNA (660 nucleotides) under Staphylococcus aureus. RNAcentral's name for it is "partial 23S ribosomal RNA". It matches the Rfam family "Bacterial large subunit ribosomal RNA", at positions 513 to 1175 of the family's 2925-position model. The record is from RNAcentral. Lineage: Bacteria; Bacillati; Bacillota; Bacilli; Caryophanales; Staphylococcaceae.